GAUGAAGAACGUAGCGAAAUGCGAUAAGUAAUGUGAAUUGCAGAAUUCAGUGAAUCAUCGAAUCUUUGAACGCACAUUGCGCCCGCCAGUAUUCUGGCGGGCAUGCCUGUCUGAGCGUCAUUUCAACCCUCAUGCCCCUAGGGCGUGGUGUUGGGGAUCGGCCAAAGCCCGCGAGGGACGGCCGGCCCCUAAAUCUAGUGGCGGACCCGUCGUGGCCUCCUCUGCGAAGUAAUGAUAUUCCGCAUCGGAGAGCGACGAGCCCCUGCCGUUAAACCCCCAACUUUCCAAGGUUGACCUCAGAUCAGGUAGGAAUACCCGCUGAACUUAAGCAUAUCAAUAAGCGGAGGA
RNAcentral lists this unclassified non-coding RNA (348 nucleotides) under soil metagenome. RNAcentral's name for it is "partial contains 5.8S ribosomal RNA, internal transcribed spacer 2, and large subunit ribosomal RNA". The stretch from base 1 to 120 matches the Rfam family "5.8S ribosomal RNA", at positions 35 to 154 of the family's 154-position model. The record is from RNAcentral.